CAAAGCCCAGACUGGGCUUAAUAGGAAGCCCAACAUGUUAGAAUGGCUUCAGGAUAGGGGGUAGCUUGGCCAGGGUGGGGGUGUAGUAGAAAUUCUAUAGGCUCAAGGUUUUCUGACCCCAAAAUGCAUCAGCCAAGAGAGGGUAAGUAGUUCAGAACAACUCCAUUCCAUUUUCCUGGUUUACAUCGUGUCUUAGCUUCGCCUGAGGUAUCAUCUCCGUCGCACCAGAAAUCGCCUCUGGCGGCAGCGAAGGUUCAAUCACCAUAAAACCUACCCCAUUCUAGCCAUCUUCAAUCCCUAUAUCCCAUUGUCAUAGUUUUUUCCCUAAAUUCUUAACCAGCUCUUCGAAUCGAAUCAAAUAAUGAACAAACCCUAAAACUACAAACCAAAAUUAAAUGUCUCCAAGGAGCGGAACGGAUUUCAAACCCUAGGGUUUUGAAUCUAUUAUCAUAUCUCUACAUAGAGGCACUAGAAUUUCAAGCAAGGAGGAAGAAUAAUGGUGACUUAGUUGUGAUACUGAGAUUCGUCUCGGUUAUUGUUGUAAUGGAGAACCAUAGAAUUGCUCCUUAGAGGGAAGUAACUUGAAUUCAAAGUUGUCUCCUUUUUUUCCUUCAAAAGUCUAGUCUGUAGGAAACGAAUAUUCUAUGCUUACUUGUUGAUGUUGCUAUGUCGUUUUAUGUGCAUGAGAUUGAUAGAGUUGAGAAGGAUUUGGCGAGUUUGAGAAAUUAAGAGAGAAUCAAUUUGAGCCAAAACCACGGAGAGUUGAGAAUUUUCAGAGAAUUUUUGGUGAAUUGUGAUUGUGACCAUGACUAAACUAUGAUUGAAGAGGAGAGUUGAAUUUAUAGAGAUGGAAGUGUGUAACUGAAUUGGGCAGUUUGUUAACUGUUAGGGCAAGGUUUGCUUGGGCGUGGGAUUGACAUGGUUAGCAUGGUCAUGAAUUUAAUUGGGCAUAAAGCAACUUGAGAAGAUGGAAGAUUGAAGAUUGAAGUAGGAUAGGUUUUAGAAAUUUAAAUUCAAGAGUCAAAUUUGGGUCAAUAGUCAAUAGUUGACCAAAAAGUCAAUUGUUGAACUUUCCUUGUAAUUUCCAUUUUAAACACCUUUUUGUAAUGAUUUCCUCUUGUGGUAAAACUUUGACUUGUAACUUGUAAUCCAAGCAACACCAUUUGUGCAUGAAGUAACUUAUUCCACUUUUGAAUGCUUA
Long non-coding RNA from Lathyrus oleraceus (garden pea), 1201 nucleotides. RefSeq lists it as uncharacterized. NCBI's taxonomy places the organism in Eukaryota, Viridiplantae, Streptophyta, Magnoliopsida, Fabales, Fabaceae. The record is from RefSeq and is a predicted model, not a curated record. The transcript is spliced from 2 exons.